UUUCUCUAAUAUUCUCUCAGAAAUACCUUUUACCUGGCUGGACACAGCACUAGCACCGUCAUAUCCCUGGCCUCGACAAUUUUGAAGGGAAGCCCGACAUCUUGAAGUGUACUUUGACUAAUGAACGGAAUCAAAUCCAAAGGCGAAACAGUUCGGUAUACAAAUGAAAAUGUUCUUGAAUCAUGUAAAACUUCAAAUUUAUUCAAGAAUGUAUUAAAUUAUCCAGAAAGUAUAAGCUUGGAGUUAUCAUUAAAAAGUGCCUUGCACCAGAUAUUUUCAAUAAUUAGCUAUCGAGACCAUCCUCAGUUGU
Molecule: long non-coding RNA, 310 nt
Filed under: Dendronephthya gigantea
Lineage: Eukaryota; Metazoa; Cnidaria; Anthozoa; Malacalcyonacea; Nephtheidae
Description: uncharacterized LOC114544718
Source: RNAcentral